ACUACCCCGCUCGCCUUCACCGUCCUCCAUCUCUAUAUUUUGCAUCCCCCUCCGACCUCUAUCGACGCUUCCCGUUCUUGUUCGGUCCUUUCGCUCGGUUCGUUUUUUAUGGCUCGAGUCCUUUCUGCCCCAACCCUAAUCGGGGCCUCUCCGGCUGCCGAGAGGGCGGAGCUCGAGCCGGAGGGCUUCUCGGAGAUCAAGGUACUGGUGAUUCGCUGCCUCGAGGAUGCCAUCGUAGUUCGUUGAGAGGCCCCCGAUUGGUUGCCCUUCAUCCCCGGCUCCUCCUACUUGGUCCCGCCCCACAGUCGCUCCUGUGGCGUCGCAGAGCUCGUCAGCAAGCUCGCGAACCCGAUGACAGAGGAGGAGAUUGUAUCGUUUACCAUUAUUCGUGGAUGAUCCUCGGUCUAUUUUAUGAAAGGUUCUAAAGGUGGGGCUACUGAUGGACGUGGACAAGAAGUGAGGCAGGAACAAAUCUUCAGAGACAAGCUUUUGUGAGAAGAUUUUAGCUUGACUUGGCUCUCAUCCUCAAGUUGGCAGCUGUGAUGUUUCUGCUCGGUCGGAUGGAUAAGAACAGAAACUUAUGCUUCGGAUGCUGUGUGCCUCACUGGUGUACCUAUAUAGAACUAUAGCUCUUCCCCCCUUACAAGAUGGCUUCAACAAGCAGGAGCACCUACUCAGCCUCAAUAUGUCAAUAUGGGACAUGGCUUUCCUGGUGGCCAUGAUGAUGGGAAUAAUCCUUAAACUGGCAUCUACUAUAAAGAACUCAGGAGUUGAGCUGCAGAACCAGAUUCAACUCACAGAAGACCAUAUUGCUGGAUUAUUGUGAAAGCGAACCAAGUGCCUGUCACUGGUUUUGUGACCCUCUCUUUUGCCAGGUUUUCAUCACAAUGAUUAUGCUGAGAGGCCAAAGCUAAGACAAGACGAGCAUCUUUAAAAGGCAAGUUCUUCUUUACUAAUUAACUUCUUGUGAAUACUUUCGCACUCUUAUCUACUUCUAUCAGCAAUUCCAUCCUUUUGACUUUUAUCUUAAGAAUUAUAUAUUACUUUGAUCUCC
Molecule: long non-coding RNA, 1054 nt
Organism: Musa acuminata AAA Group (dessert banana)
Lineage: Eukaryota; Viridiplantae; Streptophyta; Magnoliopsida; Zingiberales; Musaceae
Exons: 4
Source: RefSeq, a predicted model, not a curated record